UACGAAGGGGGCUAGCGUUUGUUCGGAAUUACUGGGCGUAAAGCGCACGUAGGCGGAUCGAUCAGUCAGGGGUGAAAUCCCAGGGCUCAACCCUGGAACUGCCUUUGAUACUGUCGAUCUGGAGUAUGGAAGAGGUGAGUGGAAUUCCGAGUGUAGAGGUGAAAUUCGUAGAUAUUCGGAGGAACACCAGUGGCGAAGGCGGCUCACUGGUCCAUUACUGACGCUGAGGUGCGAAAGCGUGGGGAGCAAACAGGG
RNAcentral lists this ribosomal RNA (255 nucleotides) under uncultured bacterium. RNAcentral's name for it is "partial 16S ribosomal RNA". It matches the Rfam family "Bacterial small subunit ribosomal RNA", at positions 524 to 777 of the family's 1533-position model. The record is from RNAcentral.